AUUGAACGCUGGCGGCAUGCCUUACACAUGCAAGUCGAACGGCAGCACGGGAGCAAUCCUGGUGGCGAGUGGCGAACGGGUGAGUAAUAUAUCGGAACGUGCCCAGUCGUGGGGAUAACGUAGCGAAAGCUACGCUAAUACCGCAUACGAUCUAUGGAUGAAAGCGGGGGAUCGCAAGACCUCGCGCGAUUGGAGCGGCCGAUAUCAGAUUAGGUAGUUGUGAGGUAAAGGCUCACCAAGCCGACGAUCUGUAGCUGGUCUGAGAGGACGACAGCCACACUGGGACUGAGACACGGCCCAGACUCCUACGGGAGGCAGCAGUGGGGAAUUUUGGACAAUGGGCGCAAGGACCUGAUCCAGCAAUGCCGCGUGCAGGAUGAAGGCCUUC
Molecule: ribosomal RNA, 388 nt
Filed under: uncultured bacterium
Lineage: Bacteria
Description: bacterial SSU rRNA
Rfam family: Bacterial small subunit ribosomal RNA
Source: RNAcentral